This 300-nucleotide ribosomal RNA is filed under the name uncultured Pseudomonas sp. Its description in RNAcentral is "bacterial SSU rRNA". It matches the Rfam family "Bacterial small subunit ribosomal RNA", at positions 1080 to 1382 of the family's 1533-position model. The record is from RNAcentral. Lineage: Bacteria; Pseudomonadati; Pseudomonadota; Gammaproteobacteria; Pseudomonadales; Pseudomonadaceae.
UUAAGUCCGUAACGAGCGCACCCUGUCCUUAGUUACCAGCACGUUAUGGUGGGCACUCUAAGGAGACUGCCGGUGACAAACCGGAGGAAGGUGGGGAUGACGUCAAGUCAUCAUGGCCCUUACGGCCUGGGCUACACACGUGCUACAAUGGUCGGUACAAAGGGUUGCCAAGCCGCGAGGUGGAGCUAAUCCCAUAAAACCGAUCGUAGUCCGGAUCGCAGUCUGCAACUCGACUGCGUGAAGUCGGAAUCGCUAGUAAUCGUGAAUCAGAAUGUCACGGUGAAUACGUUCCCGGGCCUU